AGGACGAACGCUGGCGGCGCGCUUAACACAUGCAAGUCGAGCGAGAACCAGUCCUUCGGGACUGGGGACAACGGCGAACGGGUGAGUAACACGUGGGUAAUCGACCCUUGGUACUGGGAUAGCCCGGGGAAACUCGGAUUAAUACCGGAUGGCCCAGCAGCUCUUCGGGGCGGCUGGAAAAGGUAGCUUCGGCCUCCGACCAAGGACGAGCCCGCGGCGGAUUAGCUUGUUGGCGGGGUAACGCCCACCAAGGCGACGAUCCGUAGCUGGUCUGAGAGGACGAUCAGCCACACUGGGACUGAGACACGGCCCAGACUCCUACGGGAGGCAGCAGUGGGGAAUCUUGCGCAAUGGGCGAAAGCCUGACGCAGCGACGCCGCGUGGGGGAAGAAGGCUUUCGGGUGUAAACCCCUUUCAGGAAGGACGAAGCUACUCGGGUUAAUAGCCCAGAGGGUGACGGUACUUCCAGAAGAAGCCCGGCUAACUACGUGCCAGCAGCCGC
This 502-nucleotide ribosomal RNA is filed under the name uncultured bacterium. Its description in RNAcentral is "SSU rRNA". It matches the Rfam family "Bacterial small subunit ribosomal RNA", at positions 26 to 518 of the family's 1533-position model. The record is from RNAcentral.